UACGUAGGGUGCGAGCGUUGUCCGGAAUUAUUGGGCGUUAAAGGGCGCGUAAGGCGGUUGGGAUAAGUCUUGUGUGAAAUCUUCGGGCUCAACUCGAAGUCUGCACGAGAAACUAUCUGGCUUGAGUGUGGGAGAGGUGAGUGGAAUUCCUGGUGUAGCGGUGAAAUGCGUAGAUAUCAGGAGGAACACCUGUGGCGAAAGCGGCUCACUGGACCACAACUGACGCUGAGGCGCGAAAGCUAGGGGAGCAAACAGG
Molecule: ribosomal RNA, 256 nt
Filed under: uncultured bacterium
Lineage: Bacteria
Description: partial 16S ribosomal RNA
Rfam family: Bacterial small subunit ribosomal RNA
Source: RNAcentral